CUGGGGUUGCCACCAGCAUCCUUGUGAGAACAGAUGUUCUGGUCUCGACUUUGGCGCAUGCUAAACAGCCGGACGAUAGUACCUGGCCACCUGAAAGAACCCGGCUCGAGAACUUACGGCACAGAGCUCUGUAGGCCUAGCGGCAGCCCCGACAUUUAUAGCGGAGACCUGGCAGUGGGACUGAGAAGACCUUGGAUGACGGUUCUGUAUUAAAAACUAGGACACAAGCACGCUCAUUAACCUGGGCCACGGCGGGCAGAGAGCCUCAGCA
Tupaia belangeri chinensis (Chinese tree shrew) is the source of this 271-nucleotide long non-coding RNA. RefSeq lists it as uncharacterized. The transcript is spliced from 3 exons. Lineage: Eukaryota; Metazoa; Chordata; Mammalia; Scandentia; Tupaiidae. The record is from RefSeq and is a predicted model, not a curated record.